Molecule: long non-coding RNA, 2327 nt
Organism: Prosopis cineraria
Lineage: Eukaryota; Viridiplantae; Streptophyta; Magnoliopsida; Fabales; Fabaceae
Exons: 2
Source: RefSeq, a predicted model, not a curated record
GGCUCGGAAAAAAGUUCGUUUUGUUCGCCAGAUCUCAUGAGUACUUUGUGCUUUGAAAGGAAGGAAUCUUUGUCGGUUAUUACACCAGAGCAUACUCCUACUUCCUAAAUUAUUAACAACCAAAUAACCGUGGUGAACUAAAGGAAUUGGCUAUGAAUUAUUUCAAGGAUCUCUUCACUGAAGACAAUUUUGACAGGCCAAAACUGAAUACCCGGUAUAACUAUCCACAGAUUGAGGAUGAGAUCCUUCUCUGCUUUCGUCGUGAUAUCGAGGACGAUGAAAUUAAGGAGGCCAUUCGAAGUAUGGGAGUGCUGAAAUCACCUGGACCUGAUGGCAUUGGAGCUAUUUUCUAUCAAAGUCAAUGGGAACAUAUAGGAGACUCAGUGACAUCGACGAUUAUGCCUUCAUCUACUAUGCAACUUCUCUAGAAUGGCAAUAAAUAUGAGGCAUUCUUACCAUAAGGUGACCCUAUAUUCUCUUAUCUCUUUGUUAUUUUUGUGGAGAGGUUGGCUCACUUAAUCCAACAGAAAAUAGAUGAUGCAGAUGGGAACCUAUGCGGCUUGGGAGGGAAGGCCCCCUAAUAUCACAUUUAUUGUUCGCUAAUGAUAUUAUUCUCUUCGCAGAAGCUUUGUUAGCUCAAGCCAAUGUGAUUAAUCAGUGUAUGAGCCAGUUUCGUGAUAGUUUCGAGAUGAAAGUGAAUGUUAAGACUCAAAUCUUUUUCUCAAAAAAUGUGCAUAUUGUUUGAUGGGAUGAAAUUAUCUCUAUGCUUGGAUUUACUCGCACUGCCGAUCGUGGCCACUGUCUCGGAGUUCAACUUCACACUAAACCAGUAGAGAAAGAAACAUUUUAUGAUGUUGUUGACAAGAUUAAAAAAGCAUCUUUCGUCUUGGAAAGCUACCCCACUGUCUCUUGUGGGGCGGACCACUCUUGAUCAAAUGAAUAGAGACUUUAUAUAGAGCUCUAUAGAAGAUAAAAAGAAAAUUCAUUUAGCGUCUUAGAAUGAUGUGGGACGAAGCAAAAUAAACGGAGGACAUGGUAUAAAGCAUGCAAGGACUUAAAACCAAGCGUUUCUUAUGAAGUUAGGAUAGAAAUUAAUGAAACAGAGAGAUGACCUCUACGUACGGGUUAUUAGAAGCAAAUACAAAUGUGGAAGUGACGUGAUUCCAACCAUCAAUAAGUAGAGAGUAGGCUCAAAAGUUUGGGUUGAUAUAAAGGCUACCUAGAAAGGAGUGUGUGAAGGCAUUGAGCUUGUUAAUGGCGGACAAGAUGUCAAGUGGAAAUGGGAGAAGCAUGGUGCUUUCUCAUUUAAAUAUGCAUACUACUGCUUGUCUAAGAAAAAACCAACGAAGGACAUGAUAUGGGGCAAACUUUGGAAGUUGAAUAUUCCUCGAGGGUGUAAGUCAUUCAUGUGGCUUGUCUUACAUAAUAGGUUGCUUACCAACAAAGCAUGGAAACAGAGAAAGAUGAACACUGAUGGUUGAUGCAUUUGGUGUCCCAAUUGCCAGGAAGAUGUGUUACAUGUUCUUCGAGAUUGCCCGCAAACUUACCAAUUCUAGUGCCGAUUAGUGCAUCCCAGUCAUCAAGGUGUGUUUUUUGACCUGAACCUGAAUCUUACACAACGGCUCUGAUGGAAUUUGAAUGGCCCAGGAAGUAAGAUGCGUCUAGAUUGACGUGAAUUGUUUUCAGUGUGCUAUUGGCUUUUUUGGCAAAGAAGAAACAAGUAUAUUUUUGAGAACGAAACUAGAAGCAAUAAGUCCAUACAUGCACAAGCACUCUUUGUCCUUUCGAGCAUGGCAAAACAAAAGGCUGCUAUAGCCGGGACAAAUUUUUUAGGAUAAAAAACAAGGACUGACACUGCUACUUGGCAAGCUCCUUCGCAGGGAUGGAUCCUUAGUAACAUUGAUGGCGCCUUCUUUUAUCGGACGGGUAUAGGAGGAUGUGGGGGGAUGCUUCAAAAUCACACUGGUUACUUUAUUUCUGGGUUUAUUCACGAAAAUAUUGGCACAGAAAGUCUUGAAAUUGUACUUUGGGCAAUUUUGCUUGGGUUGAAGGAAACGUGGGACUUAGGGCACCGAAAAGCAAUUGUGGAAAGUGAUUCUUUUGAGGCAAUUCAUCUUGUUAAUAGAGAGUAUAACCCUCUUCACGAUUACCAUAUGCUUGUUGGCGAGAUUCAGGAAUUCUUUUGUAGAGAGUGGCAUGGGAGUGUGCGUCAUACUUGUAGACAUGGUAAUGUUGUUGUUGAUAGCCUUGCCAAACUAACCCUUAAUACUUGGCCAGGAUUCACUAGAGUUUUCUCUCCGCCCCUUGAUGUAUUUUCUCUUUUAUUA